RNAcentral lists this transfer RNA (62 nucleotides) under Loxodonta africana (African savanna elephant). It matches the Rfam family "tRNA", at positions 5 to 66 of the family's 71-position model. Rfam says of the family: Transfer RNA (tRNA) molecules are approximately 80 nucleotides in length. Their secondary structure includes four short double-helical elements and three loops (D, anti-codon, and T loops). Lineage: Eukaryota; Metazoa; Chordata; Mammalia; Proboscidea; Elephantidae. The record is from Rfam by way of RNAcentral.
UGGUGGUUCGGUGGCAGAAUUCUUGCUUUCCAUGUAGGAGACCCAGGUUCGAUUCCUGGCCA